CCAAGCACAUACAAACCAUCACAAUGCUCUAGCCUUUCCCAAGGCCACCUGUAAUUAGGGCAGAGUUGUGAGCAACAGGUGGCAGAGAGAAAAGGGAUCCAUAGGUGAAGGUCUUGCGACCACCCCAGCCCCUCUAUGAGGGGAUGUAACAGCCACCAAGUCCAGCUAAGGUGAUCUUUUGCAAGUGGACACAGCUCAUGAGACACAGCAGCAGACAGCGGACUAGACACCAGCCCACGUGCUGCCUCCCGUAAAAGUUAAUUUUUAUGAACACCAGUGGUAGGCCUGAAAGCUGAGAAGCUUCCACACAGAUAAGAAGCACAAGAUGGGCCAGGAUGCUGCUCAACCACCUGGGAAGGGACAGGGGCUGGCAGCAAAUCCAUUCAUUCCUUCUAGAAAAAUCACCCCUGCACCUGCUGACCAACUUCGGGCUGUCAGUACCUUUUCCUGAGAAGCUAUCUGGCCAGCUGCAGCCCCCUCCCAUUUUGGUGAGUGUGGUGUUGAGGUGGGUAUCACACCAGCUCAGGCUGAGUUGGAACUCGCUCUCUAGUCCAGAUCACCCUCAAAUGCAAGUUGACCCUCCUACUCAGUCCCCCCUUCCCUUGCCUCUUUCCCCCUUAUAUACUGGUCAUCGUAGAUAGAUAACAUUUGCUGGUUUGAGUGUGCACCCAAUGCUAUGUCAUGAUGCUAGUCAG
This 695-nucleotide small RNA is filed under the name Rattus norvegicus (Norway rat). RNAcentral describes it as "uncharacterized LOC103693491". The record is from RNAcentral. Lineage: Eukaryota; Metazoa; Chordata; Mammalia; Rodentia; Muridae.